Molecule: ribosomal RNA, 253 nt
Filed under: uncultured bacterium
Lineage: Bacteria
Description: partial 16S ribosomal RNA
Rfam family: Bacterial small subunit ribosomal RNA
Source: RNAcentral
UACGGAGGGUGCAAGCGUUAUCCGGAUUUAUUGGGUUUAAAGGGUCCGUAGGCGGACUUAUAAGUCAGCGGUGAAAUCCUAUUGCUCAACAAUAGAACUGCCAUUGAUACUGUAAGUCUUGAGUAUAGUUGAGGUAGCUGGAAUAAGUAGUGUAGCGGUGAAAUGCAUAGAUAUUACUUAGAACACCAAUUGCGAAGGCAAGUUACCAAGUUAUAACUGACGCUCAUGCACGAAAGCGUGGGGAUCAAACAGG